RNAcentral lists this unclassified non-coding RNA (281 nucleotides) under uncultured fungus. RNAcentral's name for it is "partial contains small subunit ribosomal RNA, internal transcribed spacer 1, and 5.8S ribosomal RNA". The stretch from base 1 to 73 matches the Rfam family "Eukaryotic small subunit ribosomal RNA", at positions 1759 to 1831 of the family's 1831-position model. The record is from RNAcentral. Lineage: Eukaryota; Fungi.
CCAAACUUGGUCAUUUAGAGGAAGUAAAAGUCGUAACAAGGUCUCCGUUGGUGAACCAGCGGAGGGAUCAUUACCGCGUCCGAGGGGACCCCCCCCCAGACCACCCUGCGAACCUACCGCGUUGCCUCGGCGGCCGCAGCAGCGCGCCCCGGGACCCCCAACUCCAGCAGCAUCGCGCGAGCGGACUGCCUCUGAGUGGACGCCCGUCGGGCGGACCUUUCUGAACCAUGAAAACUUUCAACAACGGAUCUCUUGGCUCUGGCAUCGAUGAAGAACGCAGC